RNAcentral lists this ribosomal RNA (203 nucleotides) under uncultured bacterium. RNAcentral describes it as "partial 16S ribosomal RNA". It matches the Rfam family "Bacterial small subunit ribosomal RNA", at positions 15 to 217 of the family's 1533-position model. The record is from RNAcentral.
GAUCCUGGCUCAGAUUGAACGCUGGCGGCAGGCCUAACACAUGCAAGUCGAACGGUAACAGGAAGCAGCUUGCUGCUUUGCUGACGAGUGGCGGACGGGUGAGUAAUGUCUGGGAAACUGCCUGAUGGAGGGGGAUAACUACUGGAAACGGUAGCUAAUACCGCAUAACGUCGCAAGACCAAAGAGGUCGGUACGUCGGCUCU